GGUAGCUAAUACCGCAUAACGUCUUCGGACCAAAGUGGGGGACCUUCGGGCCUCAUGCCAUCAGAUGUGCCCAGAUGGGAUUAGCUAGUAGGUGGGGUAACGGCUCACCUAGGCGACGAUCCCUAGCUGGUCUGAGAGGAUGACCAGCCACACUGGAACUGAGAC
RNAcentral lists this ribosomal RNA (165 nucleotides) under Cronobacter malonaticus 681. RNAcentral describes it as "Small Subunit Ribosomal RNA; ssuRNA; SSU rRNA". It matches the Rfam family "Bacterial small subunit ribosomal RNA", at positions 158 to 325 of the family's 1533-position model. The record is from RNAcentral. Lineage: Bacteria; Pseudomonadati; Pseudomonadota; Gammaproteobacteria; Enterobacterales; Enterobacteriaceae.